This 301-nucleotide long non-coding RNA is filed under the name Bos indicus x Bos taurus (hybrid cattle). RNAcentral describes it as "lncRNA (ENSBIXG00000002900.1)". Lineage: Eukaryota; Metazoa; Chordata; Mammalia; Artiodactyla; Bovidae. The record is from RNAcentral.
AGACAAAUGGGCUUAACUUUUCUAAAGACUUCACAGAACUGCUAAUUUGGCAAAAGAGUGGAUUGUGAGAAAACGGCUAAUGGAUCAGGAUGGGGGAUCGCCAUGCCUGGCACUCAAUUAGGACUUAGACAAGGAAGGCCAAUGGCCAGGCCAAAUCCAUUGUUUUCAGAAGCUCCCAAAGCUACUGAGUCCAGAAUGCAAGAAGCCAUGCAGUGUUAAGGAAAAUUACCUCUUCUUCAACUCUGGGGAGCAUUUGGUCACCUAGGCCCUAGGAUCAUAAGCAUCUGUUGUUCAGGCACCU